RNAcentral lists this transfer RNA (83 nucleotides) under Schistocephalus solidus. It matches the Rfam family "tRNA". Rfam says of the family: Transfer RNA (tRNA) molecules are approximately 80 nucleotides in length. The record is from Rfam by way of RNAcentral. Lineage: Eukaryota; Metazoa; Platyhelminthes; Cestoda; Diphyllobothriidea; Diphyllobothriidae.
GGCCUCGUAGCUCAGUUGGCUAUAGUGUUGGCUGUACUAAAGCCUUCCUUUUGCAGGUGUGGGUUCAAAUCCCACCGAGGCGG